AUGUCAGGGUCAAAAGCCUGAGCCCACGGCAAGUCUUGCUUGCCUGUGGGGGAACGGCUUAUUGACCCACCGAAACAUGAGGAAGAAGCGGGGGAGGGGCCCCGCGAAUUCCGAAUGUUUCGCAGGAUUGUGAGAGUGCGAAGCACGGAACCAUCCGUGA
RNAcentral lists this small RNA (160 nucleotides) under uncultured Eubacterium sp. RNAcentral's name for it is "Clostridiales-1 RNA". It matches the Rfam family "Clostridiales-1 RNA". Lineage: Bacteria; Bacillati; Bacillota; Clostridia; Eubacteriales; Eubacteriaceae. The record is from RNAcentral.